AGGGCGCGCGGCGGGGCGGGCGGGGCACGUGGUCGUUGUCGCGUCGCGUCUUCCGUGCCUCGCCCUCGCUGGCCUUCUGCGUCUGCUGGCGCCUGCAGGGCGUCGUCUCCGACGUGACGGCGGCCGCACGGCGUUUCCCUUGGGCUCUGCCCUGCGCAGCCCUGGUCCGAGCUGGCCAGUAAGGCCCCGCGCCCUCCCCGCCUCGCCCCGAGGAUCCACCGCGGCCGCCCAGGCUGUUGGCCUUGUCCUCACGGCUCGGAGAUAAGCCGGCGCUGGUCACACCGCGAAACCCCUGUUCGCACCGAGACCCCGCUCGGGAUCAUGCGCACAGGCCAGGGCGCAGCAAGCCUUGGAGAAGCUACCUGCACAGCCCAUUCCUUGCGCGAGCUUCGCAUCUUCUGCCUCAGUUUCCUUACCUGUAAAGGGGUGAUCAUAGGACAUCCUUGGUCACACCUUUGUGGGACCCACCUGGGCUAGAGCGCGGUACCCGCCCAGGACAGUGACUGCUGCUGGAAACCGUCGUGGCACUGGGGUCACCUCCCCAAGGAGGAAGUGGGCUUCCUGCAAGCAGAGCUGUGCCCAGGACCAUGCCAGCCCAUGACAGGCAUUCACCCUGUUCUAACAAGUGAACAAAGGGGAGGAGUAAUUUUUUCAACAAAUGGUGCUGGGAUCUUGCAGGUACCUGAACAUAUGCAAGCUCCUGGAGGGCAGCAUGCCCAGGGAGGGCAGGUAAGAUGGAGUAAGCAAGUUCCACCUGCCUCUCCUGUGGAAUGCAGCUAUAAAAUCUGGACGCAACUUGUGGAGCAGAUACUUGAGGUUUCUGAGCAGUAAACAGCAGCAGGUGGAUUAGGAAAGACCAAUGGUAUGUCUUGAUCAGCAGUGUGAAAUGGACUAACACAACCAGAAUUCAAAGUACCACUGAAUGGCUGUGAGUUACCCACUGGUUGGCCCGGAUGUCUCUUGGUCUGGACAAGCUAUGACAAGACAUAGACAAGCUGAUUCUAAGAUGUGUAUGAAAAGCAAAGACACGGCCGGGCGCGGUGGCUCAAGCCUAUAAUCCCAGCACUUUGGGAGGCCGAGACGGGCGGAUCACGAGGUCAGGAGAUCGAGACCAUCCUGGCUAACACAGUGAAACCCCGUCUCUACUAAAAAAUACGAAAAACUAGCAGGGCGUGGUGGCGGGCGCCUGUAGUCCCAGCUACUCGGGAGGCUGAGGCAGGAGAAUGGCCUAAACCCGGGAGGCAGAGCUUGCAGUGAGCCGAGAUCGUGCCACCGCACUCCAGCCUGGGCGAUAGAGCGAGACUCCGUCUCAAAAAAAAAAAAAAA
Molecule: long non-coding RNA, 1326 nt
Filed under: Macaca mulatta (Rhesus monkey)
Lineage: Eukaryota; Metazoa; Chordata; Mammalia; Primates; Cercopithecidae
Description: lncRNA (ENSMMUG00000059981.1)
Source: RNAcentral